RNAcentral lists this ribosomal RNA (253 nucleotides) under uncultured bacterium. RNAcentral's name for it is "partial 16S ribosomal RNA". It matches the Rfam family "Bacterial small subunit ribosomal RNA", at positions 524 to 776 of the family's 1533-position model. The record is from RNAcentral.
UACAGAGGGGGCAAGCGUUAUUCGGAAUUAUUGGGCGUAAAGGGCGCGUAGGCGGCUUUGCAAGUGACGGGUGAAAUCCCUCGGCUUAACCGAGGAACUGCCUGUCAAACUGCAUGGCUUGAGACCGGGAGAGGUGAGUGGAAUUCCCAGUGUAGCGGUGAAAUGCGUAGAUAUUGGGAGGAACACCAGUGGCGAAGGCGGCUCACUGGACCGGUACUGACGCUGAUGCGCGAAAGCCAGGGGAGCAAACGGG